Acinonyx jubatus (cheetah) is the source of this 1026-nucleotide long non-coding RNA. RefSeq lists it as uncharacterized. The transcript has 5 exons. NCBI's taxonomy places the organism in Eukaryota, Metazoa, Chordata, Mammalia, Carnivora, Felidae. The record is from RefSeq and is a predicted model, not a curated record.
CCUUUCCUUGGAGCUGUGACGCCUCUCCUCACCGCCACUCUGGCCGUCACACCUCCUCUGCCUCACCCGCUCAGGGCAGGGAGCAUCACCGUAGCUCAAAACUGGGUCUGAGAAGACCUUUCCCGCCAGCACAACUGCGUUUGCAAACAGACGCUCGCCUGAGAUCCCGCGAGAUCUCUCCGCUCUGUUCCUUAGGCACGAAAUGCGCAAGCGCAAAACUUGGCGGUCGUUUCCUUUUCGUGAAUGAGGCUUCAUUUCACAGAUCCAGAACAAAGCAAAGCAACCAACAUAUUCUCAUGAAGCAAAGCUUGAAAAAGUCUGACUUGAGAUUUGAAGUGACUGGCUUUAUCAACACUUUGGCAAAUUUUAUAUUAGUCGAUCAGAAAAUAAGAUCUCCAGGCUUUGUAGAAUCUCUACAAAUGUGCAAGUUCUCUAACUACAAAUGUGCAAGUUCCUGAUCUUCAGCUGAGAAUAUCCAAGAUUGCUAAGAUUCAAAAAGACAGAAUUUUUGUUAAAAAUAUCUCAUAUUUUGUGUAAGGAUAUGGUAGGAAGGUGGCAACGGAUAAUUUUCUUCUCUCACUAAACAAGGAAAAGUAGCAGCAAUCUUGCAGAAACCACUUUUGGUGGCUGCCAACUUCCCUUGACUUGUGCCUGUAUCACUCCAAUCACCAAGACAAGCCUCUUCAAAUGUCUCUGUUGAAUCUUCAUAUCACCUCCUCUUUGAUUAGAAUCUCACUCUUGUAAGUAUACAUGUAUUGCAUUUAGAGCUCAGCCAGUUAUUCCAAGAUAAACUCCCCAUGUCAAGAUCACUCUUGCAGUCAAAACUACAAAAAGCCUAGAUAUUUUUGCUUUGUUUUGUUUUACUUUUUGGGCAAAUAAGGGAACAUUCACAGGUUCUAGGGAUUAGGACAUGUGUAUAUUUUAGGGGUUAAUUUGUUCUGUUGGCCACAGUAGGCAUUUAGCAAGUAUCCAAGUUUCUGCUAAAAAGUUUUGCUAGUACAAAAAUAAAAGUCCUAUUGACUUUCU